This 265-nucleotide long non-coding RNA is filed under the name Olea europaea subsp. europaea. Lineage: Eukaryota; Viridiplantae; Streptophyta; Magnoliopsida; Lamiales; Oleaceae. The record is from RNAcentral.
UAAAAGAUCAAUCCCACCUAUUUUUAUUGGUACCUUUACCUUUAAUUCUGUAAUAUAUAGCUGUCCAUCAAAAUUCCUGUAUUCAUAUGGUUCUAUCUUGUAAGUCAUUAAUCCUUCAUUUUUAUUUGCAGCCAUAUAACAUUCACCAGCUCCUGUGUCUAUCAAUAUAUUUGGUCCUUUUAUAUAUCUUCUACCAUUGAAAUAUUCUCCUUCUAUUUUCAUAUUUCCAAUAUUCCCAUAAGGUUUUAUUUCCUUUAUACCACUA